Molecule: ribosomal RNA, 497 nt
Filed under: uncultured bacterium
Lineage: Bacteria
Description: partial 16S ribosomal RNA
Rfam family: Bacterial small subunit ribosomal RNA
Source: RNAcentral
GAUGAACGCUGGCGGCGUGCCUAAUACAUGCAGGUCGAGCGAACAGACGAGGAGCUUGCUCCUUUGACGUUAGCGGCGGACGGGUGAGUAACACGUGGGUAACCUACCUAUAAGACUGGGAUAACUUCGGGAAACCGGAGCUAAUACCGGAUAAUAUUUCGAACCGCAUGGUUCGAUAGUGAAAGAUGGCUUUGCUAUCACUUAUAGAUGGACCUGCGCCGUAUUAGCUAGUUGGUAAGGUAACGGCUUACCAAGGCAACGAUACGUAGCCGACCUGAGAGGGUGAUCGGCCACACUGGAACUGAGACACGGUCCAGACUCCUACGGGAGGCAGCAGUAGGGAAUCUUCCGCAAUGGGCGAAAGCCUGACGGAGCAACGCCGCGUGAGUGAUGAAGGUCUUCGGAUCGUAAAACUCUGUUAUUAGGGAAGAAUAAACGUGUAAGUAACUGUGCACGUCUUGACGGUACCUAAUCAGAAAGCCACGGCUAACUACGUG